GCCAAUGUGUCGUAGUGGUUGGAGAGUUGGGCUACAACUCUAGAGACUAGGGUUCAAGUCCCCACUCUGGCA
Phrynosoma platyrhinos (Desert horned lizard) is the source of this 72-nucleotide non-coding RNA. The record is from the annotation of a GenBank genome assembly. Lineage: Eukaryota; Metazoa; Chordata; Lepidosauria; Squamata; Phrynosomatidae.